RNAcentral lists this transfer RNA (53 nucleotides) under Pseudoniphargus mateusorum. Its description in RNAcentral is "tRNA-Val". Lineage: Eukaryota; Metazoa; Arthropoda; Malacostraca; Amphipoda; Allocrangonyctidae. The record is from RNAcentral.
CUGAGAGCGAUAGUAUUUCAGUUACGUUGAAUGAGACCUAUAAGGCGCUCUUU